This 439-nucleotide ribosomal RNA is filed under the name uncultured bacterium. Its description in RNAcentral is "bacterial SSU rRNA". It matches the Rfam family "Bacterial small subunit ribosomal RNA", at positions 338 to 795 of the family's 1533-position model. The record is from RNAcentral.
CCUACGGGUGGCACCAGUGGGGAAUAUUGCACAAUGGGGGAAACCCUGAUGCAGCAACGCCGCGUGAGCGAUGAAGGCUUUCGAGUCGUAAAGCUCUGUCCUAAGGGAAGAUAAUGACGGUACCUUAGGAGGAAGCCCCGGCUAACUACGUGCCAGCAGCCGCGGUAAUACGUAGGGGGCAAGCGUUAUCCGGAAUUAUUGGGCGUAAAGGGUGCGUAGGCGGCCUUAUGGGUCAGAGGUUAAAUACUACGGCUUAACCGUAGUAUGCCUUUGAAACUAUAGGGCUUGAGUGCAGGAGAGGAGAGUGGAAUUCCUAGUGUAGCGGUGAAAUGCGUAGAUAUUAGGAGGAAUACCAGUGGCGAAGGCGACUCUCUGGACUGCAACUGACGCUAAGGCACGAAAGCGUGGGUAGCGAACAGGAUUAGAUACCCUAGUAGUC